Molecule: long non-coding RNA, 206 nt
Organism: Mytilus trossulus (common blue mussel)
Lineage: Eukaryota; Metazoa; Mollusca; Bivalvia; Mytilida; Mytilidae
Exons: 3
Source: RefSeq, a predicted model, not a curated record
AGAAUUUUGGUCGAUGAGCUGAUAGCCGUUGGUUGUAGAGUUGUCAGGGGCCCGGAUUGGAAAUAUGGCGAUCAUGACGGAGGUCUAGGAACAGAAGGAACGGUAUUGGGUGAAAGACAAAGAGGAAAAGUAGUGGUAAGAUGGGACAGAAAAAAUGUAGGCAGUUAUAAAAUUGGAUAUGAUGGCCACUUUGAAGUGAAGUUGAG